GACGAACGCUGGCGGCGUGCUUAACACAUGCAAGUCGAACGGAAAGGCCCUGCUUUUGUGGGGUGCUCGAGUGGCGAACGGGUGAGUAACACGUGAGUAACCUGCCCUUGACUUUGGGAUAACUUCAGGAAACUGGGGCUAAUACCGGAUAGGAGCUCCUGCUGCAUGGUGGGGGUUGGAAAGUUUCGGCGGUUGGGGAUGGACUCGCGGCUUAUCAGCUUGUUGGUGGGGUAGUGGCUUACCAAGGCUUUGACGGGUAGCCGGCCUGAGAGGGUGACCGGCCACAUUGGGACUGAGAUACGGCCCAGACUCCUACGGGAGGCAGCAGGGGGGAAUAUGGCACAAUGGGCGGAAGCCUGAUGCAGAAACGCCGCGUGCGGGAUGACGGCCUUCGGGUGGUAAACCGCUGUCGCCGGUGACGAAGCGUGAGUGACGGUAAUGGGUAAAGAAGCAACGGCUAACUACGUG
Molecule: ribosomal RNA, 468 nt
Filed under: uncultured bacterium
Lineage: Bacteria
Description: partial 16S ribosomal RNA
Rfam family: Bacterial small subunit ribosomal RNA
Source: RNAcentral